CAGAGUUUGAUCAUGGCUCAGAACGAACGCUGGCGGCAGGCUUAACACAUGCAAGUCGAACGCCCCGCAAGGGGAGUGGCAGACGGGUGAGUAACGCGUGGGAAUCUACCGUACCCUACGGAAUAACGCAUGGAAACGUGUGCUAAUACCGUAUACGCCCUACGGGGGAAAGAUUUAUCGGGGUAUGAUGAGCCCGCGUUGGAUUAGCUAGUUGGUGGGGUAAAGGCCUACCAAGGCGACGAUCCAUAGCUGGUCUGAGAGGAUGAUCAGCCACAUUGGGACUGAGACACGGCCCAAACUCCUACGGGAGGCAGCAGUGGGGAAUAUUGGACAAUGGGCGCAAGCCUGAUCCAGCCAUGCCGCGUGAGUGAUGAAGGUCUUAGGAUUGUAAAGCUCUUUCACCGGAGAAGAUAAUGACGGAU
Molecule: ribosomal RNA, 422 nt
Filed under: Rhizobium sp. IIIJ1-1
Lineage: Bacteria; Pseudomonadati; Pseudomonadota; Alphaproteobacteria; Hyphomicrobiales; Rhizobiaceae
Description: bacterial SSU rRNA
Rfam family: Bacterial small subunit ribosomal RNA
Source: RNAcentral